AAUGAACGUUGGCGGCGUGGAUUAGGCAUGCAAGUCGAACGCGUGUAGCAAUACACGAGUGGCGAAAGGGACAGUAAUACGUAGAUACGUACCCUCCGGCCUGGGAUAGUCCGCCGAAAGACGGGGUAAUACCAGAUAACGUCUCCGGACCAAAGGUGUGAUUCCACCGGUGGAGCGGUCUGCGUCCUAUUAGCUUGUUGGUGGGGUAACGGCCUACCAAGGCGAUGAUGGGUAGCGGGGGUGAGCGCACGACCCGCGUCACUGGGACUGAGACACUGCCCAGACUCCUACGGGAGGCAGCAGUGGGGAAUUUUGGACAAUGGGGGCAACCCUGAUCCAGCAAUGCCGCGUGCAGGAAGAAGGCCUUCGGGUUGUAAACUGCUUUUGUACGGAACGAAACGGUCUGGGUUAAUACCCUGGGCUAAUGACGGUACCGUAAGAAUAAGCACCGGCUAACUACGUGCCAGCCGCCGCAGUAA
RNAcentral lists this ribosomal RNA (479 nucleotides) under uncultured bacterium. RNAcentral describes it as "partial 16S ribosomal RNA". It matches the Rfam family "Bacterial small subunit ribosomal RNA", at positions 29 to 523 of the family's 1533-position model. The record is from RNAcentral.